CUCUUUAAAAUAAAAUGCCAUAUCUACUUCGUCUUUUUGGCCAUGGCCUCCGCCGAGUUCGCGGAGAUCGAUUCCGAUGCUUCGUCAGUGCCCUCCUCUGGAUCACUGACAUGAGGCGCUGGAGAGAGCCUUUUCCUCCUCCGGUGAGAGAUCAUGAAGGACCGUGAGAUCGGUAGGUCCAGGUGUUUCGGAUUCGUUACCUUCAGCAACGACAAGGACAUGCGGAACGGGAUCCAAGGAUGCCAGAGCCUUCAUUUGAGGACAUUUGAUCUUUGUGGUUGUGCACUAGCUCAUGUUGGUGUGAUGGACUUGCUGUGGUUCCCACGAAUCUACCAUAGGUGACCAUGGGAACAACAUGGAAGCCAACCUCACCACUAUCUAUCAAGAUCACGAUGACUGAUUUGCACCAUUACACCAAUUGAAGUUAUUAGAGGCUGUCUUUUGCAGCAUUCACACUGCCUGACAACUAGUGGACAUUGCCUGUUUUCUCACUGAAUCAGGAAAUAUAUUUUUUCUGAAAGCAAACUGACUACCAGUGCUGCACCUUAUUGCAAUUGAUCUAUAGCCGAUGAAACUUUAGGACGAAGCAGCUGAGUCGGUGGAAUUUCAGUCGAAUACCUUCUCUUUAUUUUUCAGGAAAAAUGUCUGUAAUGUUUCUCCUCCUCCGUCUGUCAUGGUUCCACCACGUUUCUGGUCCAAUAAGCCCAUAUUACCCAAAAAGUUAUAACGAGUCCAAGUACCCCA
Molecule: long non-coding RNA, 744 nt
Organism: Prunus dulcis (almond)
Lineage: Eukaryota; Viridiplantae; Streptophyta; Magnoliopsida; Rosales; Rosaceae
Exons: 5
Source: RefSeq, a predicted model, not a curated record